RNAcentral lists this ribosomal RNA (468 nucleotides) under uncultured bacterium. Its description in RNAcentral is "partial 16S ribosomal RNA". It matches the Rfam family "Bacterial small subunit ribosomal RNA", at positions 28 to 507 of the family's 1533-position model. The record is from RNAcentral.
GACGAACGCUGGCGGCGUGCUUAACACAUGCAAGUCGAACGGAAACGCCCUGCUUUUGUGCUCUGCUCGGGUGCCGAUCGCGUGAGUAACACGUGUGUAACCUGCUCUUGACUUUCGUAUAACUUCAGGUAACUGGGGUUACUAUCGUAUCGGAUACCCUGCUCCAUGGAGGGCGUUGGAAAGUCUCGGCGGUUGCGGUUGGACUCGCGGCUUACCAGCUUGUUGGUGGGGUAGUGGCUGACCAAGGCUUUGACGGGUAGCCGGCCUGAGAGGGUGACCGGCCACAAUGGGACUGAGGGACGGCCCAGACUGCUACGGGAGGCAGCAGUGGGGAAUAUUGCACAAUGGGCGGAAGCCGGAGGCAGCAACGCCGCGUGCGGGAUGACGGCCUUCGGGUUGUGAACCGCUUUCGCCUGUGACGAAGCGUGAGUGACGGUAAUGGGUAAAGAAGCACCGGCUAACUACGUG